CAACCGCCGCCGCCGCAGUUCGCCGCCGAGCACUGCCGCCUGUUUCGAAGGAGCCAAUCGGAGCUGGGGGCGUGGUCUGGAGCCCCGCCCCCAGGGGCUUCCUGCGGCGCGCUGGCUGGGUGAGGACUGCGCGGCGGCCUCUGGUUGCAGAAGGACAAGGAGGAUGUGACAGAGCGUCCCUCCGUCUUGCAGGCUCAGUGGAGCGACAGCCCCUUCUGUUUGUGCCCGUCACGCAGGAGAGUGUGUGAAGCCCGCCUCUCAAGGCUGCUUCUGAGCGCCCAGGAGUUGCAGCUGCUUCCAACCCUAAAAUCCGCUCAUGUCCGGAUGGGCGCUGAUGCCUCCAGAAAUACAAACCAACCCAGCAGGAACCGGUCCUAAGCAAGUCUUUUAGACAGUGAACCCCCUCCCCUUACUCCGUACUGUGAAAGAUAGAGAGGGAGAGGAACCCUGCAGCCUCACUGGAUGCCAAAGGAGGCUGUUGGCCCUUCCUUCAGGAAACAUAGGGGAGGGGGAUUUGGAUGUCAAAGCAACAAUGUAACCAUGUGACUGUUACACUAUAGCGAUAGAUGCCAGUUAACUUCCAAAGUGGCUUUUGUUUGUUUGUUUUAAUGUGGCUGAAAGCCUGGAGGUCUGUGUUCUGGCUCAGGCCCUUAGUUUCCUGCCACUUCUGUUUGUUAAGUCCUGACACCUCAGUGGUUCGUCUUUCUCCCUCUCUGAAGUGUGGGCAUUGAACGGAAGCCUGGUCUCCAACAAAAACAGUACAGCACACUGCUGCUUUCAUAUGAAACAAAUGAAAACAGUCUGAAUCUUCAAAGUGUUGAGGAGCGUGGAAAUGGAAGUCUGUGAGGGAGGGUCAUGGCCAGAGCUUUGGAAGUGGCUGGAUCUUGAAGGAACAGCAAGAAGCUGUCAGGAGGACAUGGCAAGGAAGGAGUGCUUCCUAGGCAGAAGGAACCAGAAAUGUAGGAUACGUGGAGAGCCCUCAUCCAGUGGCUGAUGGAAGCAGAGGCAGACAACCACAGACACACACUGAACUGAACUCUGGAACCCAAUUGCAGAGAGGGAGGAAUGAAAAUCAAAGGGUCAGUACCAGGCUGGUGAAACCCACAGAAAGAGCUGGCCUGAAAAAGUGGGAGCACAUGGACCCCAGACUGCUGUCUGGGAGGCUAGAUCCCUGAACAUGGAUGUCAGAGAGGAGGCCUCCACACUCUAUGGGGUCCCUGGUAGUGGAUCAGUAUUUUUUCCCUGUUGUAAGAAGGGACUUUGAGAGCCCAUCCCACGUGAAGGGAUGCUCUCUUGGCCUGGACACAAGGGGGAGGGCCUACGCCCAGCCCAGAAUGAUGUGAUGGACUUUGGGGAGCCCCUGUCGAGGGCCCUACCUUGCCUGGGGAGUGGAGGG
This 1396-nucleotide long non-coding RNA is filed under the name Cricetulus griseus (Chinese hamster). RNAcentral describes it as "lncRNA (ENSCGRG00015032681.1)". Lineage: Eukaryota; Metazoa; Chordata; Mammalia; Rodentia; Cricetidae. The record is from RNAcentral.